Molecule: long non-coding RNA, 8072 nt
Filed under: Homo sapiens (human)
Lineage: Eukaryota; Metazoa; Chordata; Mammalia; Primates; Hominidae
Description: HSALNT0343604
Source: RNAcentral
UUACUAAUAAGUAUAACUACCAAUUGGAGGCAUUUCAGUGUAAUUGAUCUGAACACUUUGAAAUGGUCUCAGUGCUGGAUUUCUUCCACCAAGGCGCAAUUUCCUUAGAUCCUGCUUAUUAGCUUUUUUUACAUGUUAAGCAACUAUCUAUAACUUGUUUGGCCAGGGUGUAAAUUCUUAUACACCCAUAAACCCGGAGAACUGCAUUGCACAUUGCUUGGGGUCCCCAAUGGGUCCCUUGAUGUAAUUGAGACAAGACUUCCCUCAUGAGAGGUUUUGACAACAUUUCCCUUUGAUCUGAUAAUAUCCAUUUCCUAUCCGCAUUUUCUUUAGCUCCUAUUUUUAUCAACGUCUUUUGUUCAAUGGAAGAGAAAACGGGUUACAGUAGGAGGAGGGCAUGGAGUUAAAUGGAAGAAAUGGCAACUUGUUUUGCUAUUUUAUUGUAACCGACUGAGUUAUAGAGAGAAUGCCACAGUCUGAGACUAAUUCAGUGAUCCUUUAUUGCCAGCAACCGAGAGACGGCUAGAGCUCAAAAUUCUCUCAGCCCCGAAGAAGGGGCUACACAUCUUUUUACACCUUGGUCUAAAGAGGGGAGGAGGAGUGUAGCUGAAGCAAUUUUUUACAGAAGCAGAACAGGCAAAAAAGUUGAAAGAUAAAUGGUUACAGAAACAGUAAUAAGAAAAUAAACAGUUCCAGGUGCAGGGGCUUAAAUUAUCACAAAGUGAUAAACGCAAAGGCUUUGGGCACCGUCAACCGAGUGCGUUCCCAGGAGCUGCUGGUACAGCUUGCCUCAGUAUCUUAUCAGUAAGCGCAUUCUUGGAUGUGCUUGGAGUCAGCUUGCACCAGUUAUGUCCUUAAGGGAGGGGGACAAGGGGCUGCAAGUGAAGAAACCAAAAUGGAGUCUGUCCAGCUCUCUCAGCUAAGAGAGAGUCAAUCAGGUUAAAAGAAGUUAGGGUAUCACAUUUCCCACUCGUGUUUGGGGGAAUCAGAUCAUUGAUUCCUCGGUUAUAACAAGGGUGUUAUAUUGGGUUCUAAGAUACAUAAGAUUGACAGAAGCUAUGCGUUGCUUUACAAAAUUAAGAAACCAAUUUAAUAUACAAGGCCUGAAGACUAACCCUAACAAGAGGAGGAGAAGGGGGUCCCGCCAACCCAGUAAUUAGAGUAGUUAGCCAGGGAUUCCAGUUAAACAUGCUUUGGUACUUUGGUACUCCAGGAAUGAGAAAGGUGGUGUUACUUUCUUGUUCCUUCUGGCAUCUAUCUAGAUUUUCUCGAACUCUUUGAAGAGUAUUUUUUAUGACUCCAGACUGAUUGGCAUAGAAACAACAACUUUCUUCUAGAGCUGUGCAUAAACCUCCUUGGGAGAUAAAUAGCAGAUCUAAGCCUCGGCGGUUUUGAAGAACUACUUCAGCUAGAGACUCUACCUGGGCAUGUAGUAUAUUUAUGGCUGAUUGGAGAUUGCUUAAAUCAGCAUCUACCUGUUGAGAUAGUGAUAUUAGUCCAGUUUCUCCUUGAAUCAGGGCAGUCGUGCCAAUAGCUGCUGACGUAGCUAUGCUAAGGCCAGCUAGAAGGGGUACAAGGAGUAGGGCAGCUCGGUGAAACCUGAAAUGCAAUUCAGGGGGAGCAAUGAGAAGUUGUCCUUCUGGCCCACUGUACAUGUAGAUCUGGGGGAGUACAUGAAUCAACAUGCAUAGGAGAGGUCCAGGUUCAGUCCCAUUGAUGCAGCGAGUGAGGCCUGAAAUGCAGGCCAACCAGGUAUUUUUGGGUGCCUGGUAGGAGACUGAGGGGUUUAAGGAAGUAAGGAGAGACUCACUACAAGUAGCCUGAAAGGGAGAAGCAGGUAAGUUAUACCUUGCGCUAAUUAGACAGAAGGCAUUCCCUGACACAUCUCCUAGUGUAAGGGCAUGGGGGCACGUAUGACAAGAAAGAGAGUCCAUUUUGAGCAUGGCUUCUACUCCUAAUCCAACAUAAUAUGGGGGUUUGGCCUUUCGGCACAACCAGCAAUCUCAGGCUAGUUUAGGCUUGGUGAGAUUAAGGAGGUGAUGUAUCCCGUCCAAAAUGGACAUCGGGCUGGGUUGGAGGUAUUGUCAUUGCAGCUGGGGUCUCAGAACCAGGAAUGGCAGUGGGACAGUUAAAUCGACUCUCUCUGGGUGUUUUUGGAACAUAGGGUCACCUAAAUCAGUUAAAGUUCUGAUUGGCUUCAUGGGACCAGGAAUUUUUUCUGGAUGGUGAACAUAGUUCCAACAUCAAAUCCUGAAAUAUAAAGCCUUAAUCCCUAUGACAUGCUGUAAUACCAUUGAGUUAAACUAGGGUUACGGAGAGUUAUAGUAAGAGGAUUACAAUUUCCUAUAGUACACGGCUUAGGAUGGGAAGCACAAGCUAUGGAAAGGGUUGAGGAUCAGGUUCAUCCUCCAGAGUAAGUGGCCAAGGUUACACACAUGCAGUAAGGGCAGAAAAACUGGUAAGAAUCUCGACAACUAGAGUCAGGGCGAUUUCCAGGACAAAGGUAAAAGUCAACGCUCUGGAGCCUUUUUUCUGCACCCUUAGAACUUCCACAUCCAGUUUGGCUUCUGGUGUGUCCGAACCCUGCAGCAAGGUCAGCGUUCCCUGCUCUCAUGAUCGGCAGAUUGCAUUGCUCUUCAAGGGUAUGGGCAGGGUCGGGGAACAAAGCACAUAAACCGACUACAAAAGAGACUUCCUUGGAGGGUCCCACCUUCCAAGUGGUGUUUGCAAACACACAUCCUGUCAUGAAGGAAGUGAGGAGAAAAGAGUAGGAAGGGGCAGAGGACAUAACAGGUGGAAACAGACAGAAGAGGUAAAUAAAAAGAAUUAAUUCGAUAGCUUUACUCAACUUAGGCGCAGUUUUAAGGGGCCUGGCCUAGGCUUGGGGACCCAUUUUUUUUGCUGGGCUUUGUUGGCCUUUUUGAUGCGAGAAUGAUGAAUCCAAGCAGGAGUGCCGUCCACCUUCAGAGCUGUUGGUGUGGUGAGGAUGACAGUAUGAGGUCCUUUCCAGGCAGGAGUCAGUCCUUUUUUCUGGAACUUUUUAACAUACACUAGGUCACCCAGCUGGAAAGAGUGGCAGGGCCCAGUCUGGUCAGGAACUGGGCUGGGGUGUGCUCCCCUGACAAGCAGCUGGAUGAUGUCUUGUACCCGUUGGAGAGACUGCAGGUACUGUAACAAGUUAGCUUGUGAGAUUUCUGCUAAAUGGGUAUCCUUUAGCUUAGGCAAGAUAGGCGGAGCCCUUCCAUACAUGAUUUCAAAAGGUGAAAACCCAGCCUGGUAAGGGGUGCAUCUUACUCUAAGAAGGGCUAAAGGAAGGAGCUUUACCUAGUUUUCACUGGUUUCUAGGAUUAAUUUUGCAAGAGUACUUUUUAGGAUGGGGUUCAUGCAUUCUACUUGUCCAGAGCUCUGGGGUCGAUAGGCACAAUGGAGUUUCCAUUGAAUGUUUAAUGCCUUGCUGACCGACUGAGCUAUGGACGAGGUGAAGGCUGGUCCAUUAUCAGACCUUAUUACAACAGGCAGUCCAUGUUGAGGGAUGAUUUCAUUGAGUAAAAGCUUAACUACCGUGGUAGCAGUUUCGUUUUUGGUGGCAAAUGCCUCAGUCCAUCCAGAAAAGGUGUCUACUAGCACCAGGAGGUAUUUAUACCCUGCCAAGUGUGGUUUUACCUCUGUAAAGUCAAUUUCCCACCUUCCUCCUGGCAAGCCUCCCUGGAGGCGGUGGCCUGGGCUGGGCUUAGGACCUUGCUUGGUGUUUACUUGGGCACAAGCCGUUUACUGGAGAGCUGCUUGGUUAGUUAAGUCCUGAAGGUGGGGGAUCUUGAAAUGGCUCCUUAGAAGCUGGGCCAGUUUUACUCCUCCUAAAUGGGUGGUAGAAUGUAGAUGAUUGAUAAAAGUUUCCCCAAGGGCUUGGGGCAUGAAGAUUCUGGAAUCAGGAAGAAUUCACCAACCUUCCUGAUUUUUACUGGCUUGAAGAUCCGAAGCUUGUUUUUCUUCCUCUGGGGAGUAUUCUGGGUAGUCUGCCCAGUCAGUUGUGGAAAGGACACAGAGGGCAGCAGGGUUAAAGGCACGACCAGGAGCUGAGCUGCCUCUCAAGCUGCAGAGUCUGCUCUUUGGUUACCACGAGCAAUGGCCAUGUCUUCUCUUUGAUGUCCUUUGCAGUGAAUUGCAGCCACCUGUUGAGGGAGCCAAACAGCUUCAAGCAGGGCUAAAAUUUCUUCUUUGUUGUUGACACUCUUUCCUGCUGAGGUGAGUAGCCCUCGCUCUUGAUAGAUGGCUCUGUGUACAUGUACAGUAGCAAAAGCAUACCUGCUGUCAGUGUAGAUGUUAAUACAUUUGUCUUUACCCUAUUGGAGGGCCUGAGUCAGGGUUACCAACUCAGUCCUCUGUGCCAAGGUACCUGCCGGCAGUGCCUGGGCCUACAGUACAUCUGUCUCCAUAGUAAUGGCCACACCAGCCUUCUGUACUCCCUGUUCAAGGAAGCUGCUACCAUCUGUAAACACGGUGGCAUCCACCUCCUUUAGAGGCACAUCUUGGAGAUGAGGUCAGCCAGUUUCCAUAGUUUCUAACAGUUCUUGGCAGUCAUGGACAGGUGUGGUAAGGUCUGGAUCAGGGAACAAGGUAGCUGGAUUUAAACACCUUGUGGGAGAGAAAGUUAAACGCGGCUGAUCUAACAGUAAACUCUGAUACCGCAAGAUGCGAGCAUUCGACAUCCAUUUGCCAGAAGCACUUUGUAGCAAGGUCUCUACAGCAUGAGGAGCCGUAAGGGUUAAAUUCUGGCCCAGAGUCAGUUUAUCAGCCUCCUGGACCUGGCUUGCUGUUGCCACUAUGGCUCACAGACAACUUGGCCACCCAGAGGCCACAGGGUCCAGUCUCUUAGACAAAUAGGCCACUGGGUGUUGCCAUGGCCCUAAAGUCUGAGUAAGUACCCCUUUAGCGACUCCUUGGUUUUCAUGAACAAAAAGGUGAAAUGGUUUUGAGAUAUUUGGGAGGGCAAGAGCAGGGGCCUCAGUUAGUGCCUUCUUCAGAUUUUGAAAAGCCUGUUCUUCUUUGUCAGUCCAAACCAGCGGGGUAUUCCCUCCAGUAGUGGUGUACAGGGGUUUGGCAAUUUCCAUGAACCCCAAUAUCUAUAGGCGACCAUAUCCCACGGUGCCCAGGAAUUCAUGUACCUGUCUCUUAGUGGUGGGAGUGGGGAUUUGAAGGAUGGCUGCCUUUCGAGCACUGGUGAGUGCCCUUUUUCCUUCAUUUGUCUCAUACCCUAGGUAGGAAAUGCUGGGAAGAAAAAGCUGGGCCUUCUUGGCUGGGACCUGAUACCCGAAUUCCUGAAGGAGUCCUGUACAGGCUGGUAAUCAUUUGUUCCGGGUUUCUGGACCGGCAAAAAUGGAAUAUUCCAGGCGAUCUCACAUGGUGUGAGUAUACCAGCUUGUAAUAGUUGCUGAAUAUGAGGAUUAAUUCCCUCUAUAGCCCACAGAAUCAUAGGAUAUUGUUUGACCUGGACCGGCAGGGUGGUGGCCAGGAGUUCUACAACAGCUGGCAGAUGGUGGUUUGCCAGUCCUGGGAGGUAUGAGGAAACAGAGUCUGUAAAGCCAGUAGGAGAGGAUUACUUUUAUUCUCCGGCAGUUGUGAGGGUGAAACUAAGAGAUAUUCCUCUGACCGAAGGGUGGUUAGCAGGAGCUGAGCAGUAGGGGGCAUUGUGUCCCCUAACAUGAGGUGAGUUUGUUGGGCCGAGAAGGAGAUGGACGCCUGUAGCUUAUGAAGCAGGUCUCAUCCGAGGAGGGAGAAGGGGCACUCUGGGACCACGAGGAACAAGUGGGUUACUCUUUUCUGUCCUAAACUCACCUCUCGUGAGUGGGUGACAGGAUAUUCCUGAAUAGCUCCAGUAGCCCUUUACUCAGCAACCUUUUUAUUAGACACUGCCUAAGGGUGUCUGGAGUACUGAGUGUUCCACCCCGGUGUCAAUUAGGAAGCGUACAGGCUGGCCCCCCACUGUGGUGGUCACCAUGGGUUCCCGGGGCCAAGUGACAAAGAGCCCUGGCCCCGUCAAUCAUCAGAUUCCUCUGCUGCGGGGCAGGGUGAGGACCUUUUUCUUUUCUGGUUUCUCCUCUGGCUUUAAUGGGCAUUCCUUUCUCCAGUGUCCAAUCUGCUUGCAAGAAGCACAUUGGUUUCUUUAUAGGGGAGUCCUCUCACGUUUCUGGCCUUCCUGGUGGGGACUCGGGGUCCCCUGGUCAGUGCUCUGUGAUGGGGGCCCUUCCUUUUUGGCUUCUUGGAUGGCAGCCACUAAGCUUUUUGCCUGUCUUUUUGAUGCUUUGUCUGCAGCCCUUUCAGCUGCCUGAGCUACCUGUUUUUGCUUUUCAAAUUCUCGAUUGUCGAAAACUCUCUGGGCUAUCUCUAAAAGCUGGCUGAUGUAAGGAAAUACUUUCUGGCUUCUCUUCAGAUAUGGUCCCUCUCUUCAGAGGUGAAAAGGGAUGAAAGGAGUUGCUGACACUCAUCCCAGAGUGUCCAGAGUUUGCCUUUUUUAAGGCGGACCCCGUAAUCAUCUGAGAAGCCUAGAGAGAAAUUCUGCAACAUACACUGGAGAGGACUCCAAUCUUUAUGGGGCCGGGAAGAAGAGUUUACUAUUCUGGAGGCAAUUAACAAGGUUUGAACAAAAAUAUUAAACCCAGCAUGGACAAAGAUAUUCACGGCCUGGGAGGCUAUGGUAUCAGAAGAACAGAAGUAUUAUAGCUAGAAGAAGUAGGAAAACAACUAUAGCCAAUAUUUCUUGCCACAUAAGGUCUGUCUCCUCAAGCUUCGAGAUCUAUGGAGAGGAUAAGAGGUGGGUCCAAGGGAUCCUCAGCCAGUGGGACUUAGGUGACCCCCCCUUCUUGACUUAUAUCCCAAAUAACUUUGGUGUCUCCACGACUCGAAAGCAAAAUGUUCAAACUCGGUCCUUUCCUUCACGGGUUUAAGGAGGGAGAACACAGCCAAGUCUUAGAGACGCUGGACUUGCUGCAACACAGGAAAAUGAGAUGUGCAGGGUAAGGGAUGGGGAUGAGGAGGAAAGGGGCCACUUGGAUUUCCCUAAAGGUUGGAGAGUAGCCAAAAGAGGUAAAAUAAGAGUCCAGACAGAGUAGAGCAGUAUGGGUGUAGGUUUCUCUGCACAGUGCCUUAUUUAAGGGCAUGGGAAAAGUUAUGGGAUGACAGAAAAGGUGAGUAAGGAGGUCAGCAGGGUGGCUAUUUUGGAUCCACCACUGGUCUAAGGAGAAGGUGGACCAGUCGUUGGGGCGUGGGGUAUGGCAAUCCAAACGCCAGCAAUCUUUAUGGUGCCAGAAAUCCUAAACGGGUGAAUGUCUUCCACACCCUUCCCCAUAACAACACCUAAUUUGUUUCUGACAGGAAAGGCAGGACUGGGAUGGCCAGCCCAACCGACUAAUGAGGAAUUUGACCUCCUGGGAUAGAAAAUCUGUACUAAGGACCUUGAAGAAGUCCUUGCCCAGUCAUUUUGGGCAGUAUCGACGAUCCGACAUAUGAAAUUUAGACAGACACUAAACAGGACAAUAGGCACUGGGGUAUAUAAACAAGCAUGGCAAUUUUUAUAGACAGACAAGGGGAGGGGGUCCCGUGAUGGGAUCAGUCAGAUGCCCUCCUGGCUGCUCCCCUUUCGGGGACUUAGGCUCCUCUUGGCAUUGGCAGGCUGGUAUAAACCCCUGGCUUGGAUCGAGCUAUGCCUGAUGCCGCCCUAAGCCUUAUGAGGUCACCACGGAACCACAGGUGAGGGCCUUCUCGAAUUCCCUAGCUUUCACCCUGGAGCUACAAACUGGAAAUUCAAGCGCAAGCCCUUGAACUCCACAUUCACUCACUCACUCACUCACUCAGAGUUUAUUACAAUUUUUAUACCCAUUCUAAAACAGAGAUCUCCCGGAGACCUGAAUGAGAGAGGGAGAAGAGAUAGAGAGAGAGAGAGACUAGACUUAACAGAGAAUCCUGACAGAAACCAGGACUCUGUCCUCCAGUGUCCUGGAGCAUGGACAGAGUCUGAGGGAGGACCUUCGUCAGGGCCGUUUCCCUCCCAGAGAGACAGAGUCAGAUCUGACUUACCU